GAUGAACGCUAGCGGCAGGCCUAAUACAUGCAAGACGAACGGUAAGUUGAGUAGCAAUACUUAGCCAAGAGUGUCGUACGGGUGCGUAACACGUAUGCAACCUACCCUAUACAGGAGGAUAGCCUAGGGAAACCUGGAUUAACCCUUCAUAGUAUUAUUGGAUGGCAUCAUUUGAUAAUUAAAAACUGAGGUGGUAUAGGAUGGGCAUGCGUCUGAUUAGUUAGUUGGCGGGGUAAUGGCCCACCAAGACGAUGAUCAGUAGGGGUUCUGAGAGGAAGAUCCCCCACACUGGCACUGAGAUACGGGCCAGACUCCUACGGGAGGCAGCAGUAGGGGAAUAUUGGUCAAUGGAUGCAAGUCUGAACCAGCCAUGCCGCGUGCAGGAAGAAGGCCUUCUGGGUU
Molecule: ribosomal RNA, 402 nt
Filed under: uncultured bacterium
Lineage: Bacteria
Description: bacterial SSU rRNA
Rfam family: Bacterial small subunit ribosomal RNA
Source: RNAcentral